UACUCCUACGGGAGGCAGCAGGGGGGAAUUUUGGACAAUGGACGCAAGUCUGAUCCAGCAAUGCCGCGUGCAGGACGAAGGCCUUCGGGUUGUAAACUGCUUUUGUACAGAACGAAAAGGCUCUGGUUAAUACCUGGGGCUCAUGACGGUACUGUAAGAAUAAGCACCGGCUAACUACGUGCCAGCAGCCGCGGUAA
This 197-nucleotide ribosomal RNA is filed under the name Sporobacter sp. Its description in RNAcentral is "partial 16S ribosomal RNA". It matches the Rfam family "Bacterial small subunit ribosomal RNA", at positions 334 to 523 of the family's 1533-position model. The record is from RNAcentral. Lineage: Bacteria; Bacillati; Bacillota; Clostridia; Eubacteriales; Oscillospiraceae.